ACCAGGGGCGGAGCGGGGGGGUGGCUUUUGGGGCUCGAGCCCCGAAUGUUUUGUCAAAAGCCCCGAAUCUUUUCAGAUCUGUAAAAUGAAUUCAUCCAGGACGCUAGGUGGCGGCACUCAGCUUUAACUCUCCGGUCCCCCACUCAGCUGAAAAUGAAUAAGAGAUGCGUGUUGAAUGCAAAAUAACAUUCUGAAUCUCCCCACAGUAAACGCAUUUUCAAAGUGUCUUUAUUAUUACAGUGCCUUCGUUAUUACUGUAAGUGUAUAUUUAUAGUUAUGUGAUGUAAAUACUGUUAAAUAGCGUCAACUGAUAUAUUAUCUGCAUGGCUAACGUCUAACUUACUGUGGUGCUCUGGUCUAGUCUGCCUCAUUGGUCAUUGAUGGAUAUACGAUUUAUAUUUUUAAAGACGUCAGAAGUAAGAAGUGCAAAUAGGAAGAGAGGAGGGUGGAGAGAGAUCACAGACAGACAGAUAGACAG
Molecule: non-coding RNA, 478 nt
Organism: Misgurnus anguillicaudatus (oriental weatherfish)
Lineage: Eukaryota; Metazoa; Chordata; Actinopteri; Cypriniformes; Cobitidae
Source: RefSeq, a predicted model, not a curated record